Molecule: ribosomal RNA, 301 nt
Filed under: uncultured bacterium
Lineage: Bacteria
Description: partial 16S ribosomal RNA
Rfam family: Bacterial small subunit ribosomal RNA
Source: RNAcentral
CAGUCGCCACGGGAACACGUAGGGUGCGAGCGUUAAUCGGAAUUACUGGGCGUAAAGCGUGCGCAGGCGGUUCGUUAAGACAGAUGUGAAAUCCCCGGGCUUAACCUGGGAACUGUAUUUGUGACUGGCGAGCUAGAGUAUGGCAGAGGGGGGUAGAAUUCCACGUGUAGCAGUGAAAUGCGUAGAGAUGUGGAGGGAUACCGAUGGCGAAGGCAGCCCCCUGGGCCAAUACUGACGCUCAUGCACGAAAGCGUGGGGAGCAAACAGGAUUAGAUACCCCGGUAGUCCCUGUCUCUUAUAC